This 59-nucleotide transfer RNA is filed under the name Loxodonta africana (African savanna elephant). It matches the Rfam family "tRNA". Rfam says of the family: Transfer RNA (tRNA) molecules are approximately 80 nucleotides in length. Their secondary structure includes four short double-helical elements and three loops (D, anti-codon, and T loops). Lineage: Eukaryota; Metazoa; Chordata; Mammalia; Proboscidea; Elephantidae. The record is from Rfam by way of RNAcentral.
AGCAGUUAAGCGUUUGGUUGCUAACCAAAAUGUCGGCAGUUCGAAUCCACCAGCUGCUU